UCUCUUUAUAGGAUAUUACAGUCCGUAAGCUUGUGGAGCUUAAUGUUCAGUUGAUGGAGAGUU
Molecule: transfer RNA, 63 nt
Filed under: Cornu aspersum (brown garden snail)
Lineage: Eukaryota; Metazoa; Mollusca; Gastropoda; Stylommatophora; Helicidae
Description: Helix aspersa (brown garden snail) tRNA-His
Source: RNAcentral